Molecule: ribosomal RNA, 405 nt
Filed under: Dardanus sp. USNM 1535468
Lineage: Eukaryota; Metazoa; Arthropoda; Malacostraca; Decapoda; Diogenidae
Description: partial large subunit ribosomal RNA
Rfam family: Bacterial large subunit ribosomal RNA
Source: RNAcentral
CGAAGGUAGCAUAAUCAUUAGUCUUUUAAUUGAAGGCUUGUAUGAAAGGUUGGACGAGAGAAAAGCUGUCUCAACUAAAGUUUUGAAUUUAACUUUUAAGUGAAAAGGCUUAAAUAUAUUGAAAAGACGAUAAGACCCUAUAAAUCUUAAUACUAGUAUAGAUUAAAUCUUUAAUUUAUUUGUUACUAGAGGUGUUAAGCUGUUAGUUUUUUGUUGGGGCGACAAUAAUAUAGAAUAAUUACCUGUUUUAUUUUUAAUACAAUUAUUUUUGUUUAAAAGAGUGAUCCUCCUUAGGGAUUAAAAGGUCAAGUUACUUUAGGGAUAACAGCGUUAUUUUCCUUGAGAGUCCUUAUCGAAAGGAAAGUUUGCGACCUCGAUGUUGAAUUAAAAUUUCUCUGUGGUGCA